GUGCCAGCAGCCGCGGUAAUACGGAGGGUGCAAGCGUUAUCCGGAUUCACUGGGUUUAAAGGGUGCGUAGGUGGGCAGGUAAGUCAGUGGUGAAAUCUCCGGGCUUAACUCGGAAACUGCCAUUGAUACUAUCUGUCUUGAAUGCCCUGGAGGUAAGCGGAAUAUGUCAUGUAGCGGUGAAAUGCUUAGAUAUGACAUAGAACACCAAUUGCGAAGGCAGCUUACUACGGGGUGAUUGACACUGAGGCACGAAAGCGUGGGGAUCAAACAGGAUUAGAAACCCUUGUAGUCC
RNAcentral lists this ribosomal RNA (292 nucleotides) under uncultured bacterium. RNAcentral's name for it is "partial 16S ribosomal RNA". It matches the Rfam family "Bacterial small subunit ribosomal RNA", at positions 505 to 796 of the family's 1533-position model. The record is from RNAcentral.